CAGGCUCCAGUGUUAGCACAGAGCCUGACGCGAGGCUUGAUCCCGUGAACUGUGAGAUGGUGACCUGAGCUGAAAUCAAGAACUGGAUGUUCAACUGACUGAGCCACCCAGGUGUCCCCUUAGAAUAUAUUAUUAAGUAAGAAAGAGCUAGGUACAGAACAGUGUGCAUAGUAUGCUGUCAUUUGUGAAUCACGAGUACAGGGAGUUGACCCCUCUCCCAGCAAUGGAGAAUCCAGGAGGUGCUCUCCUGGGCACCUUGAGUAGACAGAACACACAAUUCUGGUCCUGCUUUUGCUGGUGAAAUUGCUGGUCCUCCCCUACCUGGGUGAACAGACCUAGAUCCUCAGGGACUCAUGCAGUGCUCACCCUUCUCCCUCACCAUCAGCAUACCUGUGCCCACCUGUAGUGGUGACAGCCAUACUUUUUGAUUUUUUCUAGAUGAAGACUUCUUUCCUCCUGGACGCAGGCCUAAAGAUUGUUGGGAGUUAGCGUUCACACUUACUUUUGUUUUAUUCAUACUCGAUUAGUCUGUGUUGGCAUUUAUAGAAGCCCACUGAAGAAAUAGAGAAAUGACUUUCAGUUCCACAUUUGGAACUGGAAAAUUCAUCUUUAAUCAGAUAAAGAUAACCUGGUAUGUCAUACACCAAGGGUUUUUACAAAGUGGGUAUCAGUGAUCAAUGUAUGAAAUCCCGACAAGCCCAGGCUUGCUUUCAUGUUUCAACUACCUUCUCGAUUGCUAGCAUAAUCUGAGGUUUUGAUUACAGGUAGACUAGCUUUGUAUGGAAAAUUUGUUCUCCAAUCAAAGAUUGAUCAUUUGGCCUUGUCUUGAGGCUUAGCAGAAGAUGAGAAGCAUUCUUUUGGGAGAUAAGUCUCUAUGUGUCUGUAGCAUUUCUGUAUGUCUUGAGAGGCAGUCACUGUGAAUUUGUGCCAAGAUUUGACUACAAGAAUGUUCAUUGCAAAUGUGUUACUAAUCAUGAAACAUGGGCAACAUCCACUAUGGCCAAUCAUGGGAGAUAGAUUAAAUUAUGGUACAGUCGUAUAAUGGAAUGCCUUGCAGCUAUUUAAAAAUGACGAGGUAGAAGAAAAGUUAACAUUCAAAAGUGUUCAUGAUAUAUUAAGGGGAGAAAAGCUGUCUUCAAAAUAAAUCACAAUAGUGAUCUCAUUUCAAAAGUAUUACACACACACACACACACACACACACAGAAUGUCUAAACACCACGGAUUAUUAGCACUUGUUAUAUUUUUGUGAUAUGGGUAAAGUUUUUAUUUUUUAUGAAUAUUUUAUGAAUAUUUUUCUAAAACAAAUAUGAUUGCUUUUGCAAUAAAGCAUCUAAUAAAAGAUGUUUUGAGAAGGAAUAGAUGCAAAAAUGUCUGUGAAUGCCUUUUCUGGUUCAGUUGCAGUGUCUGAUGCAGGAACCCACCUCCAGAACCUGAAUCUCUUUUUGUCCUUCCAGGCCCUUGUGGGUCCUGGCCAGCUGCUGGGGAAACUCUCUGGAUCUCUGCCCUGUUCCUUGCUACUGAUGUCUGGAAAAUGUCUGUGCCAUCCACCUGAGCAGAGACACUUGUAAAAACUUCUAACCUGAAUAUAUCCACCCACCCCCACCUCAAGCAUAUUCCUGGUAUUCCUGUUAAGUGGGAGGAGAAAACAUUUAAGAAAUUUAUUUCAUUUUCAGGUCAUCUAGAUGGCAAGCCCCCUGCCAAUUUCAGGUGGAAUUUGAUUGAAUUCUUUCUGAAAUCUCCAGUAGCUUUUGAGAAAGAACUUUCUUGAGUGUCCAGCUGCAGCUUCCUGGGAGCACAUGGUGCCUGUUUGAGAACCUUGGAGUCCGUUGCUAUGGAAACAAUAAUCAAGUCAGAUUGCCACAGGAGGACCUCUCCUGAGUCCCCAAGAACAUAUUGUUUCCUUCCAUUUGGUUCUGUUUGGUCCAAGUAGACACAGAAACCUUCACUUUCUGGAUAACCUGCUUCCAUGGCCAGACAUUGAUGAAUGGAUGGUCAAAGAGAGCAAAUAAUUCUUAACUCUUUGUGAUGUCCUUCUCAGAAAGGUCAGAUUGUAUUUUGAUGGGUGAAUUCUAAUGAGAAAUAGAGUCUUUGUUUUGCACAAGUUCUUUUAAGAGCUGGCCAACCUUUCCCAUCAAUGGGAUUAAAUUUAUUAUAGCUCCUAAGUAACAAAUAUGUCAGCUGAUGGAUGCUUCUGUAACUUGCAAGCUGCUGGAGCCAGAAUCUGCUAUGGUAUGAUCAGAGUUCACCUUGCAUGCUCAUCAGGCUUUCCUACCGUACUUUCAAGAUAUGAGGAAUGCUGCUGUUUUGAAGGACACCCCCUAGCAGCAUACUUCCUUGCUUAAAUGGGCUUCAGGCAAAACACUUCUCCAUGUGAUGGAUCAGAAGGAUGAGAAUGCUUUUGCUCAUCAGCAUUUUUCUUCAGGCCCAGCCAAGACAGACUGUUGGCCAGUUCAGACAAGCUGAGAAUAAACUCAAGUAUUUAUACGGCUGCAGGGUUAUUGGUAAAAAGUCUUUCUUGGUGUCUUUCAUUACCACAAGCAUUAUACCACAGAAUGUGAGGCUCCCUGUUACAUGUUUGCAGCUUCAGAAUAAGUGGUGAACUCCACAGGAGUGGGUGACCUGUUAGCCUCUGAAGGGUGGAUCAGAGACCUCAACAAUUCAAUUAAUUCAGAAAAGAUUGGUUGAGAACGGGAGGAGCCCAGUGCUUUGCUAAUUCGAUAAAAUGAUUUUCCGUCUUUCUUCUCCAUACACUUUCAAGAACCCAAAUUUUACACUAGUGCACUAGGACACUUGGAAGGGAUCAUUCUCGUACACUCUUUUUUCUCGCUGGAAUCUGGACAUUGUCAAUGCUGAGGGCUCCUUAUUUUGACACCCUUCUGCUGACACAUAAAAAAAAAAAUAACACCAGUAUAUUUAUAAUAUUAUAUUUCUUACUCUAAUUUCUGGUAAGAGUAUCCAUUUCAACAGGUGUUUUGUUUUGUUUUGAGAUUACAACUUACCUGUCCAACAAAUAUGUUGCCAGCGGCAACUACAGAUUCAAUAGGAGAUGAUCCCAUAGUAACUAGCAUUACCCAUCCAACCUGAAAAGAGAUAAGGGACAAAGUCAGUGAAGAGUUGUUUGUAUACACAAAACUUCAAAGUAGGGAUGAAAAUCUUUGGAGGAAAAUGCCUUCAACAAUUGUUGGCAGGCCAGUGAUGGUGCUAAAUGUGAGUAUAUCUUAUCUAGAGUUUACAGAGUAGGCCCAUAAAAUCCUCCUAUUUGAGUGGUAAGUCUGAGUCAUUGUAUUUGCCUUGAAUUUAUACAUUCACUAUAGAAACAAAUCUGUACUGAAACACUGUAUGAGAAUAAUAAAUUUUAAUAAUUGCUUACAUUCUUGACAGGCUUUACUGCAUUCCAAGCACUGUUUUAAGCUCUUGAUCCAUGUAAUGCAUUUAAUUAUCAUAAUACCCCUUUGACGGAGGUCCUAUAAUUAUGGCCAUUUUAUAGAAAAGGAAUCUGAGGCAUAGAACAGUUUAGUUGUUUUGUCUAAGAUCACCCAGCUAAUAAGUAGUGGAAUGAGGUUUGGCCCUUUCUACUUAACUCUCAAAUGAACAUGGUUUAUGGUCCUGCUUCUCUAUUGGCCCUUCCAACUAGAGACUGUGGUGCCCACCUCAGGAUGGAAACUUCCUGUUGCAUUCUCUCCUUCCUUUCUGCUUAGACAUGAGCACAAUAAUGCUGCGUGUUCAGGUCAGCAAUCAGAAAAUCACGGGUCCUGGCACACUCUUGCUGACAUUCUGGAUUCUGCUGGUGUUCUGUUGCUUUCUCUCUCUCUCUCUCUCUCUCUCUCUCUCUCUCUCUCUCUCUCCCUUCUUACCUCCCUCUCUUUUAUUUAUUUACAAGGAUCAAAGGAGGGCAAUGGCUGUGCCCAAAGUCUGUAUGCACUGCCCCGUUUGUGUGUGUGCAUUUGAACUAACUUGCAAAUUUCCUCCUGUUGCAAUUUAACACAAGUGUAGAACUGACGCUGGGGUGGCAGAAAUGAGGUGAAAUUUUCAGGCCUUGUGUGUGUGUGUGUGGGUGUGUGUGUGUGCUUAUAAAACUUCCUCAGAAACAAAAAGUAGCUUCUCUCUUCUUGCUUUGAUCCUGUAGCCACUCCUAGACCAGGAGUCUCCACUUUUGCAACGUCCUGAGGAUAAGCAGGGAUUCUGUGUAAGGCACAGGGUAGACAGCCAGGACGAAGGAAGGAUGCUGUUCUCUCCACAGGUGUCAGCUCUGCUGGAGUCAAUUAUUUGGCUAAAGAAGUAAUUACUGAGGUUUUAUGAAGAUAGCCGGUAACCACUGGCUGCAAGUCAAAGCCCCAUUAGAAAUCCCCAAGAUAAAAUUCCCUCUGUGGCUACAUGUAAGAUUUUUUGGUUUGGGUCUAAUACCUUGGGGUGGAGGGGUGGUGGUGGUGGAUUUUGGCACAAAGAGAAAGGCACUUUGGAAAAUCCUGGAUAAAAGGCAUCUAAGACUUUGUCCCUGAAAGAAGCAGCCAGUCCCUUUAAGACCCAGUACCUUUCUGAUGAUCCACUGCAUCAACCCGAGGUAGUAGAGCAUGGACAUGACCGUGCUGAAGAAAACCACGAUUGGCAGGACCUGGGGGUGAGAUGGGGGUCUGAGAGCAAUCCAGGGUUGAUGUUGCCUCAGUUGUGUUAGUUAAGUUUCAGAUCAGGUCUCUUUUCUGCCUCCCUCUCCCCAACCCUGCCCCACCUGGAAACAUCAUAAAACUACUCGAAACUCCUCUUGAACUUUUGACUAAAUGAACUAAAUGACAUUUGAAUGAACUAAAUGACACAUUUAGUUCACUCCUCUUGAACUAAAUGACACUUUUCUCAGGCAGCUUCCACAUCUACAAUCUUUUAUUUGAAUUUGCUCUGGAUCAGCUUGAGGAUAUUUUAUAGGAAGCAUGACUUUGUUUGUUUGUUUGUUUGUUUGUUUGUUUCUUGGCAAUGAUGAGCUGCUGUUACUUCAGUUUCUCAGAGAAGGAAUGAAGUUCGAUGAGGGGGUAGUUUGUAAUAACUAGAUCCACACACUGAGGGCCACUGGCAGGUAUUCUUGAAGUUCUGAUAUUAAAUAGCCUCAUUAGCAGAGAAUCCUGGUCGAAACAGAGUGUGAGCAGCCUCAGAUCUUUAUUUGUAGAAGUUGCACAGACCAGAUACAGCAUGGUGGGUGCUUACCCAAACUGCCUCCCGUAGGGUAAGCAUUCAUUCACUUAGCUCUGAAGAGAAUAAUUAUUGUACUCAUGGAGUUUUUGAACCGCUAAAAAAUAAACUUUGGAAAUAGUUUAUUGCGUGAUACCACAAGCGUCUUUUUCUGAGCCCUAUUUCCCUGAAGCUCUUUGGGUGCCUUCAAGAUAGCCUGUUUCUACAGUGGGCAGUUUCCACCCUGCAGAGAACACACAGAGCUGUGGGCUGGGUCCCCCCACACUCCUACCCCUCUGUAACCCUUCUCCUCUGUUCCCCAGCUAAAUGGCCAGGGACAUACUGCCACCAGAGGCACAGAAUGACUGAGGACAAUUUGUACAGGAUCUGAUCUAGAAAAAUUUAUUAAUAAUAUAUAUCAAAAGACAUUUUGUGCCAUUAUGCAGAGCUCAGUCACUUCUGUGCUUUUAUUGGCUUUAAUGGGCAAGCAGUGCCUUCCUGAAAGCUUCAGGGAAUUCAAGGAGCUUAUCUCUUGAAUGUUCCCACAGGGAUUCUGCUUUGGCUGGGAGGACAGAGGCCACCUCUGUGGGGGAGAGGGAGGUGGUGGGUGCGUGGGUGGGUAGGUAAAGUCUAAAGACACUGGUGUAGUCUGGGCAUCAAGGUAUGCCUUCCUUGUGACUUUCUUUUUCCAAUUCUGGGUUCAAUUCAUGAUAUGAGCAUAUUUCUGUCUCAGUUUGUAAACACUUGGCCUUUGGGAGAUGGCUUUGUCAUCUUAGCAACCAAAGCGUCAAAUCAGCAUUAAAAAAAAAAACAAAACUCAGCAAU
Molecule: long non-coding RNA, 5982 nt
Organism: Felis catus (domestic cat)
Lineage: Eukaryota; Metazoa; Chordata; Mammalia; Carnivora; Felidae
Exons: 2
Source: RefSeq, a predicted model, not a curated record